GAGUGCAGACUCUGCCGCCUUCCUCUCGCCACUUGAGCACAUCUGAGUGAGACAACGAACUUCCGCUCUUUUCCCAGAGCCGCCAGCUCGGUGCAGGGUGUUGUUUAAAAGGAAAGAAAAGAAAAGAAAUGACAAAGAUCUCACUGGCCUUUAGAAGAUCAUAACCAAAAAUAAUCAAAACCACUUGCCUCGGAUCAGUGCUUUGCAGUUUACAUUCUUUGGCUAAAUAAGACAUGCAAAUAAACAGUGAACACCUUCGGUAGAAGAGCUACAGACGAGUGCCCAUGGACUCCUGGCCACUGAAAGCUUCAGACUCUUUACCCGUGCGUCCAUCCACUGCUUAGUCACGGAGCCGCCCCGCUUGCUGACGGCGUCCAGCCUGGGCAGGACCCCACGUCUCAGGAGGACCCAAGGCAAGCCGCAGCCCGUCCCCAGAAAGCCCCUUCUGAUCAGUUCUCACUAGAACGUCGCCGGCUGCACUGAGGGAGGCCCCCACAGGCGCGGGAACAGGUGCACUCCCGGCGGUCUUUGGCUGGACAGUACUGACGGUCGCGGGGUUCCAGCCCCACAGCCCCCACCCGGCCUGGGAACAGCGCCCUCCCAUGAAGAGUCUAUCCCCAGGCCAGCCCAGCGACCUGCCAGGACAUCGGGGAAGGAAAGCCAAGAAGACACUCCUUGCGUCCUGCCCGUGUCUCUCUCCCCAGACAAAGCACAUCAGGACAGGUGGGAGCCAAGAUGCCGGGAGGGGCAGCAGGAGGGCUGGGAGGGUGAGGGAGGACGGUGAGCAGAGAGAGCCUCGUUCUGGGGGCC
Molecule: long non-coding RNA, 810 nt
Organism: Mustela lutreola (European mink)
Lineage: Eukaryota; Metazoa; Chordata; Mammalia; Carnivora; Mustelidae
Exons: 3
Source: RefSeq, a predicted model, not a curated record